This 513-nucleotide ribosomal RNA is filed under the name uncultured bacterium. RNAcentral's name for it is "partial 16S ribosomal RNA". It matches the Rfam family "Bacterial small subunit ribosomal RNA", at positions 28 to 523 of the family's 1533-position model. The record is from RNAcentral.
GAUGAACGCUGGCGGCGUGCCUAAUACAUGCAAGUCGAGCGAACAGAUGAGAAGCUUGCUUCUCUGAUGUUAGCGGCGGACGGGUGAGUAACACGUGGGUAGCCUACCUAUAAGACUGGGAUAACUCCGGGAAACCGGGGCUAAUACCGGAUAAUAUUUUGAACCGCAUGGUUCAAUAGUGAAAGACGGUUUCGGCUGUCACUUAUAGAUGGACCCGCGCCGUAUUAGCUAGUUGGUAAGGUAACGGCUUACCAAGGCGACGAUACGUAGCCGACCUGAGAGGGUGAUCGGCCACACUGGAACUGAGACACGGUCCAGACUCCUACGGGAGGCAGCAGUAGGGAAUCUUCCGCAAUGGGCGAAAGCCUGACGGAGCAACGCCGCGUGAGUGAUGAAGGUCUUCGGAUCGUAAAACUCUGUUGUUAGGGAAGAACAAAUUUGUUAGUAACUGAACAAGUCUUGACGGUACCUACCAGAAAGCCACGGCUAACUACGUGCCAGCAGCCGCGGUAA